GACGAACGCUGGCGGCAUGCCUAAUACAUGCAAGUAGAACGCAGUUGCGAACGGGUGAGUAACGCGUAGGUAACUGCUUGGUAGUGGGGGAGAACUACUGGAAACGAUAGCAACUAACGCCUCCUACCAGAUGGACAUGCGUGGUCUUAGCUAGUUGGGGGGGUAACGGCUUAACAAGGCGACGGUACAUAGCCGACCCGGGAGGGGUAUCGGCCACACUGGGACUGGGACACGGCCCAGACUCCUACGGGAGGCAGCAGUAGGGAAUCUUCGGCAAUGGACGGAAGUCUGACCGAGCAACGCCGCGUGAUGUAAGAAGGUGUUCUGAUCUUAAAGCUCUGUUGUAAGAGAAGCGGUAUCUUACCAGAAAGGGACGGCUAACUACGUGCCAGCAGCCGCGGUAAUUC
Molecule: ribosomal RNA, 407 nt
Filed under: uncultured bacterium
Lineage: Bacteria
Description: partial 16S ribosomal RNA
Rfam family: Bacterial small subunit ribosomal RNA
Source: RNAcentral